Molecule: long non-coding RNA, 770 nt
Organism: Peromyscus leucopus (white-footed mouse)
Lineage: Eukaryota; Metazoa; Chordata; Mammalia; Rodentia; Cricetidae
Exons: 3
Source: RefSeq, a predicted model, not a curated record
GAGAUCAUCUGUGCCCUUCAAUUUCAAGGUCCAGGAGCAUUUUAGAGGCAUCUAUUUCUCUGUUUUGAUUUUUGUUUUCAUUUUUGUUUUUGUUUUCAGACAGGGUCUCAUGGAGUUCAGUCUGACCUCAAAUUCACUCUCCAGCCAAGGAUGAUUUUGGAUUUGUGAUCUUCUUGCCCCUCUUCCCAAGUGCUGGGACUACAGGCAUGUGUCAUCACGCCAGUUUUAUGUCGUGUUUGGGGAUGAAACCCAGAACCUCAGGGCAGGGCUCCUCCUGACUUGAGACUGGACAAGACAUGCUUUGUGAUGGACAAGCCCGACUGUCAAUUUGUUGGAUCUGGAAUCGGCUAUCCUGUUGUUGCGGUUGCUGGUGACACCACAUCCAUCCAUCAGUACCAUCAGAACCCAAAACCUCAUAGGCCUUCACCUGGAUUGAAGACAAGACCUCCAGUGCCAGAUCGGGACUGCUGGGAUAUCCAGCCUCAUGGACCAGACAGCUUCUAGGCUCUCAUCCCUCUCCAUCAUACAGAAAGUCAUUGUUGGACUACCUGACCACUAUUGUGUCCCUGUGGCCAGUCUUCAGGUGGAAGCUGUACAUCCAGACUCGCUGGAUCCUCAGGACUUCAGACUCAAAGUAGAACUAAGCCAGCUGCUUUCCUGGGUCUCCUGCUGAAGAACUUAGUCUGUACAUUAUGAGACUUGCUGUCUCCAUGAGUGAGUGAGCCAGUUCCAUUUGCCAUAUUAAUCUUUCCCUCUCUAUAGAUUGACAG